RNAcentral lists this ribosomal RNA (465 nucleotides) under uncultured bacterium. RNAcentral's name for it is "bacterial SSU rRNA". It matches the Rfam family "Bacterial small subunit ribosomal RNA", at positions 338 to 795 of the family's 1533-position model. The record is from RNAcentral.
CCUACGGGGGGCAGCAGUGGGGAAUUUUGGACAAUGGGCGCAAGCCUGAUCCAGCCAUUCCGCGUGAGUGAAGAAGGCCUUCGGGUUGUAAAGCUCUUUCGGCCGGGAAGAAAUCGCAUCAGCGAAUAACUGGUGUGGAUGACGGUACCGGCAGAAGAAGCACCGGCUAACUACGUGCCAGCAGCCGCGGUAAUACGUAGGGUGCGAGCGUUAAUCGGAAUUACUGGGCGUAAAGCGUGCGCAGGCGGUUAUGUAAGACAGAGGUGAAAAGCCCGGGCGUAACCUAGGAAGUGUGUUUGUGACUGAAUAAGGAGAGUGCGACAGAGGGGAGUGGAAUGCAACGGGUAGCAGGGAAAGGCGUAGUUAUGUGGAGGAACACCGAUGGCGAAGAUAGCCCCCUGGGUCGACACUGACGCUCAGGCACGAUGGCGUGGUGAGCAAACAGCUGUAGAUACCCGAGUUGUC